GAACUGAAGAGUUUGAUCAUGGCUCAGAUUGAACGCUGGCGGCAGGCCUAACACAUGCAAGUCGAGCGGUAGAGAGAAGCUUGCUUCUCUUGAGAGCGGCGGACGGGUGAGUAAUACCUAGGAAUCUGCCUGAUAGUGGGGGAUAACGUUCGGAAACGGACGCUAAUACCGCAUACGUCCUACGGGAGAAAGCAGGGGACCUUCGGGCCUUGCGCUAUCAGAUGAGCCUAGGUCGGAUUAGCUAGUUGGUGAGGUAAUGGCUCACCAAGGCUACGAUCCGUAACUGGUCUGAGAGGAUGAUCAGUCACACUGGAACUGAGACACGGUCCAGACUCCUACGGGAGGCAGCAGUGGGGAAUAUUGGACAAUGGGCGAAAGCCUGAUCCAGCCAUGCCGCGUGUGUGAAGAAGGUCUUCGGAUUGUAAAGCACUUUAAGUUGGGAGGAAGGGCAGUAAAUUAAUACUUUGCUGCUUUGACGUUACCGACAGAAUAAGCACCGGCUAACUCUGUGCCAGCAGCCGCGGUAAUACAGAGGGUGCAAGCGUUAAUCGGAAUUACUGGGCGUAAAGCGCGCGUAGGUGGUUUGUUAAGUUGAAUGUGAAAUCCCCGGGCUCAACCUGGGAACUGCAUCCAAAACUGGCAGGCUAGAGUAUGGUAGAGGGUAGUGGAAUUUCCUGUGUAGCGGUGAAAUGCGUAGAUAUAGGAAGGAACACCAGUGGC
This 720-nucleotide ribosomal RNA is filed under the name Pseudomonas helleri. RNAcentral describes it as "bacterial SSU rRNA". It matches the Rfam family "Bacterial small subunit ribosomal RNA", at positions 1 to 716 of the family's 1533-position model. The record is from RNAcentral. Lineage: Bacteria; Pseudomonadati; Pseudomonadota; Gammaproteobacteria; Pseudomonadales; Pseudomonadaceae.